AGAGUUUGAUCAUGGCUCAGGAUGAACGCUAGCUACAGGCUUAACACAUGCAAGUCGAGGGGCAGCAUCAUCAAAGCUUGCUUUGAUGGGAUGGCGACCGGCGCACGGGUGAGUAACACGUAUCCAACCUGCCGACAACACUGGGAUAGCCUUUCGAAAGAAAGAUUAAUACCGGAUGGCAUAGUUUUCCCGCAUGGGAUGAUUAUUAAAGAAUUUCGGUUGUCGAUGGGGAUGCGUUCCAUUAGGCAGUUGGCGGGGUAACGGCCCACCAAACCAACGAUGGAUAGGGGUUCUGAGAGGAAGGUCCCCCACAUUGGAACUGAGACACGGUCCAAACUCCUACGGGAGGCAGCA
Molecule: ribosomal RNA, 354 nt
Filed under: uncultured bacterium
Lineage: Bacteria
Description: bacterial SSU rRNA
Rfam family: Bacterial small subunit ribosomal RNA
Source: RNAcentral